GUUCCCAGGCUAUGGGUCAAAUAGGAGCUGUAGCUGCUGGCCUACACCACAACCAAAGCAACACCAGAUACUAGCCACAUCCGUGACCUACACCACAGGUUACAGCAAUGCCAGACUCUUAAUCCACUGAACUGAGGAUAGGGAUUGAACCUGCAUCCUCUUGGAUUCUAGUCAGAUUCAUUUCUGCUGAACCAUGAUGGGAACUCCCCAUAUGGUGACCUUUUAAAUCAAUCCUACAAGAACAGUGCAAAAAACAGAAAAUACUGUAUGAACAUAGAUGAUAACUACAGUAUUUAAGAGCUAGAAACCUAAAUGGUCGAGGAAUAGAAAUAUGAGGUUAAAGAUAAAACACUUUGAUGGAAUGUUUUCAGACAUUAACAUCAUUGUGAAGACCAUGCAGGACAAUGAAUGCCUAUUACUAUGUUACGGAACAAAGAAAAUAAAAACUUCCCUAAGUCUAAAGACAGAAUAUAUAUACAGACAGGAAGAAGGCCAUUUAAAAAAUCUAAUGAUAGGGUGGGAUUAGAAGUGAAUGGUGAAGUCCACUUUGAUCUGUAAAGUUUGAAAAUAAUACAAAACAAAAUACAAUCUUUGUUUUCUGCCACAUCCCAGCUUUUAAGGCCUUUUAGAUGUUCCUAAAUCUAUAAAGGACUAGCACCCCAUACAAUUCUGAUAUGCAGCUAAUUCUAGAAACCUUGACCAACUGGCUUCACAGUUUUCCCAAUGUAAUUUUUAAUCAGUCAUCCUCUCCAAAUUGGUUUACUCACUGUCCCAAACAUAGCUUUUCUUACGUAACUGCAUCCUUGCUCACAAUCUCCAUUCACUUAGAAUGACUUCCCUUCUUCUAAUUUUACAUACUACAUACCACUAACCUUGAAAAGCCUUCAAUGAUGGCUCAACAAAUGAUGGCUUUUUGUUGGUACUACAACACAAUUUGUGUUUUUAAAAACAAUUAGAGCUAACUGUGUACUGAUCUUUUGACAAAUCAAUUUUUGUAGGGAGCCAUGAUUUAACUUUAAAAAGUUCAAUUAAUCUAAACUGACCAAACCUUUCGAAGUAACUAUAUUAACUUCCACAUAUUUAAUUACGGUCUUCCCUUUACUGAUAGUAAGCUCCUGGAGCACAGGUCCUUGCCAGGAAGGAAUGCUACAAAGUAACCUAGAUGACUUGAAUCCAAAUUCUAACAUAUGCUCUUGUUUGCAUCAUAUAUGAAAGAAACUCAGUGUCUAUGAAUGGUCAUAAAAUACGCACUGAUAUCUAGGGCACAAGACAAUGUAGAAAUAGCAAAGGGUGCUAAUAAGCAAAUCAUUUAACUUUCCAAAAAAAUUUAACAAAAUCAUUAGGAAAGCAGCUACAUUCAACAAAACAAUGUUCCACUUUUCAACAUACAGACAUUUACAGAAAUAACUUCACAGUGGAACAAAUCCUAUCAUUUUUCAAAAGCAAACAUAUAAUAGUAACAUGGCCAAUCUUGAUUACUAAUGAAUAGUUAAGUAAAACUGCAUACCAGAAAUAGAAUUUUCAACAGAUAGCUGAUCCAGGUCUUUUAAAAUCUGGAACACUUUCCUUCAUGUUUCCUCGAAAUAAGGCUUACUCUAGAAGACAAAGACUUUUCUUACUUUUGAGUUUUUUACAUAACCCACACACUCAGAACAGACUGUUUUGCUUCACUUCUUUUUUUUUCUUUUUAGGGCUGCAUUUGCAGCAUAUAGAAGUUCCCAGGCUAGGGGGGAAGUUGAGCAGUUUUAUAUGUUUUAUAAUUUCUUUACCAAAAAAAAAAAAAAAAUCACUUCUCAACUCUUACUGAAAUAUCUUUUCUAUAUGCCAAAAUUUUAAAUAUGGAGGAAAAAAAUCAUGAAAAUGUUCACACUGUUUCUUGAUAAAAAUAUGAAGCACUUAAAAAAUCCAGAAAUGGGAAAGGCAUAAUUGAGUAAACAGACUCAUAAGUAUGUCCUAAUCUGGGGACUUCAUUCUAAAGUAUCACAUCAGGAAGCUAGUUAUACAGACUUAUUUGAACCUUUGACCAAACAAACACUUUUCAACUACCAUUUUUUCAUUUUGCUAUUUAUGGUUCUACUUACUGGUCCACAGAAAAACUUUUUCAGGCAGGCUCACCUCAGUAAUACUUUCGGGUAUUUGUCACUGAACUGUCCUGUUUUCUUCUGACCAACUGCCAAAAAAAAAAUCUCAAUAAAUUAUUAAAUCAUUCAAUCAUUUUCUAGUCUGGAGCCCCAUGAAUAAGAGGGUUCAAAUCAAGAAUAUUAUGAAGAUAAUUUUAUGCAGUUAUUUAGAUCAGUGUGACAAGGUCAUUCGAUAGAAAAACUAACAUGCAUUUAUUUUAACUAAGAAAUUACUUUUCUAGUAAUUCUAAGAAAAGGCACUAUUGUGAAUGAAAAAUUGACUCAAUUAAGAUAUUCUCCUAACGAGUAAAUGUAGUCAAUGUGGACUACCAUUGAUUUUUACAUAUUUAAUUAUUUCAUUCUUUAACUCAACUUGCUAAUUAAUACUUUAUUUCCACAAUUUCAAAUGUAAUUUUGUUCUAUUGAAAACAACACAAGAUCACAACAAGCUCAACGGCUGCCUUGAACAAAGUCCUACCGGGGAGGACCUUUCCUCUAAGGAGUGAUGAUAAGGGUUAGGUCAGGAGUUUUCAGUCCCUGUAUUUCCUCCCCCAAAGUAGUAUAAGGCUCCAGAAGGGUGGCACAGCUGCACGUCUAAAGUAGCAGGGCUGCUGCCAAGAGAAUUCCUCAGCGCCCCAAACCCAGUUUCCUUAUUGCCUCAUCGCGGGAGGAGCACGCGGAAACACCUCUCCCCAGGUAGGGAGGGUCUAAGAACCUUACCUUCCCCGUCUUCCUGAAAAAGGAGCCUAUAACUGGUGACACUCGAUCACAGAGUAUGACAAGCUGCCGAAACCCACUUCCAAAGAAGGGAAGUACUGCUCCCAGAGAAGAGGAGCCCAAAGGAUCGGCCAGGAAAAAAAGACCAGCUCGUCUCCUCCGCCUCUUUCUCUUUGGCAGCGGGAGAGGAAGCCUCGCCCCCUCUCAACCCGCCUCCCGGCUCCCCUCCCCGCCGCAGGGAGAACAUACCCGGCCAUGGCUGCCGCGCGGCCCCCUCACUUCCGGUGCCGGUGCCUCCAAUGCUGCGCCAUCCCCCAGCCCACCGGACAACCACAGCUUCGAACUGACCUUUCCGGCAGAUCGCGACUCUUCCAACGUUCACUAGGUUUUGUCCUGGAGAGAACGGUGGAUGGGUGCCGCAGAAAAACGAAUCUACAGACUAAAGAAUCCGCUCUCGUCUGGCCAGAAACAUAAAAAGCGAUAGAGCUGCAGCCACCGCUGCCCAGACAAAAUGGCGCCG
Molecule: long non-coding RNA, 3357 nt
Filed under: Sus scrofa (pig)
Lineage: Eukaryota; Metazoa; Chordata; Mammalia; Artiodactyla; Suidae
Also listed under: 1 other name
Description: lncRNA (ENSSSCG00000051146.2, ENSSSCG00130033047.1)
Source: RNAcentral